This 810-nucleotide ribosomal RNA is filed under the name Halomonas sp. 6(2010). RNAcentral's name for it is "bacterial SSU rRNA". It matches the Rfam family "Bacterial small subunit ribosomal RNA", at positions 51 to 859 of the family's 1533-position model. The record is from RNAcentral. Lineage: Bacteria; Pseudomonadati; Pseudomonadota; Gammaproteobacteria; Oceanospirillales; Halomonadaceae.
ACACAUGCAAGUCGAGCGGUAACAGAUCUAGCUUGCUAGAUGCUGACGAGCGGCGGACGGGUGAGUAAUGCAUAGGAAUCUGCCCGGUAGUGGGGGAUAACCUGGGGAAACCCAGGCUAAUACCGCAUACGUCCUACGGGAGAAAGGGGGCUUUGGCUCCCGCUAUUGGAUGAGCCUAUGUCGGAUUAGCUAGUUGGUAGGGUAAAGGCUUACCAAGGCAACGAUCCGUAGCUGGUCUGAGAGGAUGAUCAGCCACAUCGGGAUUGAGACACGGCCCGAACUCCUACGGGAGGCAGCAGUGGGGAAUAUUGGACAAUGGGGGCAACCCUGAUCCAGCCAUGCCGCGUGUGUGAAGAAGGCCCUCGGGUUGUAAAGCACUUUCAGCGAGGAAGAACGCCUAGUGGUUAAUACCCAUUAGGAAAGACAUCACUCGCAGAAGAAGCACCGGCUAACUCCGUGCCAGCAGCCGCGGUAAUACGGAGGGUGCAAGCGUUAAUCGGAAUUACUGGGCGUAAAGCGCGCGUAGGUGGCUUGAUAAGCCGGUUGUGAAAGCCCCGGGCUCAACCUGGGAACGGCAUCCGGAACUGUCAGGCUAGAGUGCAGGAGAGGAAGGUAGAAUUCCCGGUGUAGCGGUGAAAUGCGUAGAGAUCGGGAGGAAUACCAGUGGCGAAGGCGGCCUUCUGGACUGACACUGACACUGAGGUGCGAAAGCGUGGGUAGCAAACAGGAUUAGAUACCCUGGUAGUCCACGCCGUAAACGAUGUCGACCAGCCGUUGGGUGCCUAGAGCACUUUGUGGCGAAGUAACGCG